This 167-nucleotide small RNA is filed under the name Actinomyces sp. RNAcentral's name for it is "c-di-AMP sequence". The stretch from base 31 to 167 matches the Rfam family "c-di-AMP riboswitch aptamer (ydaO/yuaA leader)". Rfam says of the family: This family represents a conserved RNA structure found upstream of the ydaO and yuaA genes in Bacillus subtilis and related genes in other bacteria. The ydaO/yuaA element is thought to act as a genetic "off" switch for the ydaO and yuaA genes in its native state. It is believed that the element may be triggered during osmotic shock leading to activation of ydaO, a predicted amino acid transporter gene, and members of the yuaA-yubG operon which code for KtrA and KtrB K+ transporters. The record is from RNAcentral. Lineage: Bacteria; Bacillati; Actinomycetota; Actinomycetes; Actinomycetales; Actinomycetaceae.
GCUCUUCGUUCACCGAGGUUGAACCGCGAAGAGAUUGGGAAACUAAGGUUCAACGCGGGGAAACCAAUUCCGACCCUUCGCGGUCUUGGGGUGAAGCUUGGGAAACCAAGCCGGGCACUCCCGCCCGAACCCGACAGCUCACCUCGCAGGUCUAAGAGGAGAAAAUU